AAUCAGAUGUUUUUUAAAGUCGGGAUCGGCUGCUUCAUUUCUCCAACCGGAAACACGUACCCUACGAUAACACACUUAACAAGCUUAGAAGUGGAAAGUUUGCUGUUGGUUUGAACAUACGAAGACUACAAGAUGAUUUCUGACGUACAACUGGCUAUCUUUGCUAAUGCUCUAGGAGUGACGUUAUUUCUGCUGGUCGUUCUGUAUCAUUAUGUGUCGGUCAACAACAUCAAGAAGCACGAUUAAAAAUCAUCAGAUGCAUAUCCACUUUGAUAUACAGAUGUUUCUAGUAACUGUGUGAAUGGGCUGGUGUUUUGUGUAAAUGUCAUCAUUUGUUAAUUAAAUCAUUUGUAGUUAA
Long non-coding RNA from Ostrea edulis (European flat oyster), 358 nucleotides. RefSeq lists it as uncharacterized. NCBI's taxonomy places the organism in Eukaryota, Metazoa, Mollusca, Bivalvia, Ostreida, Ostreidae. The record is from RefSeq and is a predicted model, not a curated record. The transcript has 3 exons.